CAUAUACUCCCUCCGUCCAAAAAUACUUGUCAUCAAAAUAGAUAAAAAGGGAUGUAUUUAGAACUAAUAUACGUCUAGAUACAUCUCCUUUUAUUCAUUUUGAUGACAAGUAUUUCCGGACGGAGGGAAUAUGUG
Non-coding RNA from Triticum aestivum (bread wheat), 135 nucleotides. NCBI's taxonomy places the organism in Eukaryota, Viridiplantae, Streptophyta, Magnoliopsida, Poales, Poaceae. The record is from Rfam.